GGGAGCUUGGCUCAGUUGGAAGAGCGCAGGUCUCAUAUUGUCUAAAAUAUGAUCCAAUUUGACAUUGGAAGUUAUCCUGAGGUCGUGAGUUCGAGCCUCACAGUUCCCA
This is a non-coding RNA of Podospora fimiseda, 109 nucleotides long. Lineage: Eukaryota; Fungi; Ascomycota; Sordariomycetes; Sordariales; Podosporaceae. The record is from the annotation of a GenBank genome assembly.